Molecule: ribosomal RNA, 499 nt
Filed under: uncultured Thiorhodospira sp.
Lineage: Bacteria; Pseudomonadati; Pseudomonadota; Gammaproteobacteria; Chromatiales; Ectothiorhodospiraceae
Description: bacterial SSU rRNA
Rfam family: Bacterial small subunit ribosomal RNA
Source: RNAcentral
AGAGUUUGAUCAUGGCUCAGAUUGAACGCUGGCGGCAUGCCUAACACAUGCAAGUCGAACGGUAACGCGAAGAGCUUGCUCUUUGGCGACGAGUGGCGGACGGGUGAGUAAUACUUAGGAAUCUACCCAGUAGCGGGGGACAACUCGGGGAAACCCGAGCUAAUACCGCAUACGCCCUACGGGGGAAAGCAGGGGAUCUUCGGACCUUGCACUAUUGGAUGAGCCUAAGUCGGAUUAGCUAGUUGGUAGGGUAAAAGCCUACCAAGGCGACGAUCCGUAGCUGGUCUGAGAGGACGAUCAGCCACACUGGGACUGAGACACGGCCCAGACUCCUACGGGAGGCAGCAGUGGGGAAUAUUGGACAAUGGGGGCAACCCUGAUCCAGCAAUGCCGCGUGUGUGAAGAAGGCCUGCGGGUUGUAAAGCACUUUCAGUAGAGAAGAAAAGCCUAAGGUUAAUAACCUUGAGUCUUGACGUAACCUACAGAGAGACGAUCCGAA